This 497-nucleotide ribosomal RNA is filed under the name uncultured bacterium. RNAcentral describes it as "partial 16S ribosomal RNA". It matches the Rfam family "Bacterial small subunit ribosomal RNA", at positions 28 to 507 of the family's 1533-position model. The record is from RNAcentral.
GAUGAACGCUGGCGGCGUGCCUAAUACAUGCAAGUCGAGCGAACAGAUGAGGAGCUUGCUCCUCUGACGUUAGCGGCGGACGGGUGAGUAACACGUGGAUAACCUACCUAUAAGACUGGGAUAACUUCGGGAAACCGGAGCUAAUACCGGAUAAUAUAUUGAACCGCAUGGUUCAAUAGUGGAAGACGGUUUUGCUGUCACUUAUAGAUGGAUCCGCGCCGCAUUAGCUAGUUGGUAAGGUAACGGCUUACCAAGGCAACGAUGCGUAGCCGACCUGAGAGGGGGAUUGGGCACCCUGGAAAUGAGACAAGGUCCAGAAUCCUACGGGGGGCAGCAAUAGGGAAUCUUCCGCAAUGGGGGGAAGCCUGACGGGGCAAAGCCGGGUGAGGGAUGAAGGUCUUCGGAUCGUAAAACUCUGUUAAUAGGGAAGAACAAAUGUGUAAGUAACUAUGCACGUCUUGACGGUACCUAAUCAGAAAGCCACGGCUAACUACGUG